UAUAAACUAAUUUAAGAUUACAGGGCUAAAGGUAGUAAAAUUAUCUUAAUUUUUUUUUUUUUUUAAUCCCAUCUGACAACACUCUUCUAAAUUUGUUGACACUGUAUCUCAUGCAGGUGAAGCACAAUUCUGCUGAAGCUUCCUGAGAGCUUUGUGAACAUGAUUUCAAUGAAAACAUAAUUUAGCUGAAGCCUGAGGACUGGGGGGACUCCUGGUGCAACAAGAAUACCAAAAUAUUUCUAAACUGGGCUACACUGUGUGAAGAAGAUGCUUUGUGAGCUGAGAAAAUGAGUGGCGGAGAUUUAAUCUGGUGCCUUGCCUUUGCCCGAAUAAGGAGAUGCAGAAAGACUGUGAAGAUAAACUUCAAAGGUUCUGAUGACUGUCUCAUUUUCUCCUAGGGAACUUAUGAACACCAUUAUAACAUUUUGCCCUUAUUGAAUAUGGUCAGAAUGUCCCAUAAGGUGGCAUGAGACAGGGAAGGUGGCCUCCAUUUGUCCCCUCUGGCAUACUGGAACGGAUAGACUGCCCAUAAGCCAAAUCUGGUUGCCUUCUCUCCUACUAUUCCGUUCAGGUAUCUAAUAUUAAAAAUGACCAGUAUCUUCUGGGCUUUUUGUUUCAAAAUGGGAAUGGAAACCUUUAAGGUGGGCUAUAACGAGCACUGAAUUCAGCAAGGCUAAAGACACCUCGCAGCCCCACGAGAUGCAGAGCACCUUGCCAAACACCUUUACCAGCCAUCCUGCUGGUAAAAUCAUCCUGAAAAGUGACAUCAAGCAGCAUAAAAUUAGAAAACACACAUUGAUCUGAAUGGUGACCUAGAAGUGAUGUAUGCAAUGGGAUCGCAGCGUACCUCAGUGAGAACGAGGACAAUUUUACUGCGACACUGUUACUUUUUGUUCGACUUUUCUGUCCAGAAAGAACUCCAAAAACCUGAACAAUUUCCACAGGAGAAGGUGGCGUCUAGGAAAUAGACUUCAGCGUCUCAAUUUGAUCCGGGUUUGAUUCUGAGUCUCCAGCAGCCCUGGAAGCAGCCUUUUCUAAAGUAAAUUAAUUCAAUAAGCUAAAUAGCAGCAUGAUCACUGCAUCCUGUCGGUGUGACACCUGGCGUAAAACCACUUCAAACCAGACUGUUUUGUACAGACUCAGUAGUGUCGUGAGUUUUGAUUUUUGUGGGAGAAGCAGAAGUCAGUUCUGGAGCGCUCAUUUACUACCGUGCUGAUAAGCACCUGAUCUGCUGCUGAUAAUCACUUUCCUCUUCUUUAAUUACAGCUCUGGUUUUCUAUUGACACUUCAUGUAGCCAGUGCUAGAUGUUCCAGUACUAAUGAAUUUGAUUACACUAUACCAGAUAAUGGAUCAAGUAACACCGUAUCAGCUCUUCUAUGAAAGAACGUAAACACCUUUUAUGUUCUAGCAGCUUGCUGCUUUCUUCAUGACAUUGUAUUUAUUCUAUCUUGAUUUCUAGCUCUGAGCAUGAUGAAUGCAUAUAUUCUCAAUUUCUCAUAGGGAGGGUGGCAAGCACUGUAAUAGAUAACUUCAAAGCAUAAUGAAAAGAAAAAUGCAAUAAGCCAUAUUUAGGAGUCUAACCAAUUUUUUUCUCAUCAUUUUGACUGAUGAAAAUGGAGCAGCAUGAUCUAUGUGAAUGUGUAAUCCUUUUCUUACUUGGGAGGCUUCAAAUACUGCCUUGCUGGGCUUUUGAAAUGGCAUGAUUAUGACUGAAUUGCGCAUUGCCAAGAAGGAUUCCAUUUUUCUAAGAACAUAGUAAAGUAAAAUUAUCAAGAUUAUAAAGAAGUUAUGGUUUAUUCGAGCCAGCAAAAAGACAGCUUCAAACUGACCAUUUCAUCAGCUUUUUUUCCUCAUCGCUACGUGCAGUUUAACAUUUGCACAUUCCUAUUAACUUUCCAAUUUGUUUCUGAAGAUGGUAUUAUGCAUGGUCUAGUAAAAAUAAGCUUGAUUUUUCCAGGAAGACUGGUAGAGAAAAAUUGAUGGGCAGACAUCAGCUAGUGUUUUGAACGUUUAGAUCAGUAUUUUCAUUUAGGGAGUAGGGAAAAUUUAAUUCAAAAACAUUAUAGCUCUAGACCCUCAAAACUGAACUUGUCUUGAAGAGGCUUCAAGUCUUUCAGGUAAACUGUAUUAACCUCACUAAAAUCAGAAACAAAAUGCUUUUCUAAAGAAAAGAAGAGUGUUAAGCCGACACAUUACUUUGCAAGCUAUAUUAUUUAAAAAAUCAUCAAAAAUAACCUUUCCAACAACCAGCUUCAGUUUUCUGGAUAAACUAAUACAAUUUUCCCCCUUUUAAAGGGUCUUGGUGCAAUUUUAGACAUAUUCAAUAGCAACAAAAUGGACGCGGGCAGUUUGGAAACACAGGCAAUUAAAAAAAAUAGUUGUGAUCAGGUCUCUCUGUUCAUGUGACAGAAUUCCUCACUGCACAAGGAGCACAGCUGACUUCUGCAGCAAGCUGCUAUUUAACGCAGAGGGAGAUGGUGGUCUCAGGCACUGGUCCCAAUAACAAAGGUACUGCUGAAGGUGCAAUCGCCAGCUUGGUUUCUAAAACCAUUUUUGGAAAAAGGUAGACUUAAGUUUUCAGUGAUUCACUAUUCCAGCUAUUUAAUGCUUUCUGAAAUUUAAAUCCUCUUGAGGAGAAUCACUUUGAAAAACUGAGGCUUAGUACUUAAUUUUAUCAGGAAAAACUUUCGGUGCCUGAAAAUACUCCAGAUAUUGGGAGAGGUAGGUUGGCUGACUGAUUUUGUGGCCUCUCAAGGAGAAAAACCUAACAGCUUCCCAUAGCUCAGGAGUACAAAUAAAGGAAGAAAAGUUCCAGUGGAGUCCGAUGAUGGCAGAGCUGUCUCUGGCAGUAACCACACUGGUUAACUGGGCACUAUUAGGGCAAAGUUUGAAAACUUGGGAGUGACAAUACAGGUGAACAGCACGUGCUGCUGUUCAGUCCGGAGUCCGCUUGUCCAAGUACAGUUUCUUCACUAGCUGGAAGAGAUGAGUGAUGGUUUAGUUGAAAGGCAGCCUAAGUUGUAACAUUUAUCUUUCUUGCUAAACAAAACUGCGCCACACAGGGAUGCACCUAUAGUGAUGGAACCACUGAAGCAAAAUGCAGAGUACAUUCCUCAGAGCUGGAGCCAACGGAUUUUGGAACAGUUUUAAGAAGCCAGUAUAUUUUUGAUCAACAUUAAGGAGACAGUUAUUGAGUGUUUGGAAGUCUGGACAGGAAUGGGACUUGUGCAUCCUCAGGGGAAGAACCACGCGUAGAUCCUUUUUCCACAGAAACCCCAAACCUCUGGUAAGCCUGAAAUGGCAGUAGAGUUAGGAGCAGAUCCUAAAAGAAACAUGGCAGAGCUGGGGCAUAGAGUAAAUAGACAAUCCCUUAGCUCUGGUUGAAGGGCUGUGUGGUUGAAAUAGUGUUCAGGAAGCCUUAACGGGUUAAUGAUAUCCUUCCAUUAAGGAGAAAUAGCUAAGGAAAGAACCAUGAAUCAUAGGUACUAGAUCCAGUGUGGGAGAGGUCAUGACCUAUUCUGUCCCCAAAAGUUAGGAUGGUAAAGUUGCAUACUUUCAAUCUUUCUUCAUGUCUGGGGCAAUAAUUUAAAGUUAAAAUAUUCUUGUUUUCUAUAAAUUAUGAGGAAACAGUAUUAUAAAGCCUGAUCUCUCUCCUAAUAACACAAAUAAAGCAUCCCUGUGGGAUCUGCAGCAACUGUUUUCACAUGAGCCUAGUAAGAUCUGUAACUGGCUUUCAUGUGACAGAUGCUUUUGUCCUUUUUUAAAGCACACUGUUUACACUCUCACUAAGUUUUUUUUCAAGCCAAUGCUACGUUUUCUCUGCCUUUUUUUUCACCCUUUCCUUUCGUUUCCUUUGCCCGUUCCCAGUCCUCUCAGCUCUCAUGAUCAUGCUUCCCUGCCACCCUCUACUCAUCCUCUGCUCCUUCGACAUGUGGUACCCUGCUCCCAUACUUCCCCAUAGCUGUCUCCUCCUCGAAUCACUAGUCUCACUGGGAGCACCUAACAAUAGGUAUAUCCAAUAGUAAUGAUGACUGUCACUGCUCAUGGGAUGGGGGAAAAGGGAAAACAGCAGCAGUGAGAUUUUUUUAAGAAUGUCACUCUAUGAUUUAGCAAAUUUAAUCUGUAUUUUUCAAUGCUUUCUAUAUGUAUUGAAAAUCUUUACUACCUUAUCACACAGACAAAUUAAUGGAUUAGUUUGAAGCACGCCAAGUUCUAUCAAAAUGGAAAUGCACUAACGCUAUCUUGCUUUGUUUUCAGAAGACCGAUACGUAUUCUAACAAAACUAACUACUUCAGUCUAUAGUUUAAAAAAUUAUGACCAGCUAUUUCCCUUUCUGCUAUUCUAUCAGUUUUGUACAGAUUCUUGUGAUACUAAAGGAAAAGCAUCGACUGUAAUUGGGUCCUGGUCCCUGAGAUUUAUUUUUGGAAGAUUAUACCGUCUAUAACUCUGCCAGACUGCAACGGGCCCAGGACAUUACAGAAUACGUAGUCAGAGCGCAGCCGCACAGAAUGUCUAUCUCAUAUCUGUAAUGAAGUAAAAAAUCACCAAUUGCUGCUUUAGCCUAUUUUAUAACUUUAAAUAAAAUAGUAUCUAUUUCUAGCUAACUUUAGAUAAGUCAUAACUGUAAAUUGUGCAUUUUCACACAGAUAUACAUUUGUCUGGUUCAGCAGCAUUUACAGGAAACCUGUAAUUUCUAAUUGCUGAGACUUGCACUUGCUUUUUCUUUGUGCUAAUUAAUGAAGAAUCUGCAUGUGGUUGAGAGGGGUGAAAAGGAAGGUAGGUAGAAAACCAGGACUAUACCUCCAUAUGCAUACAUGCAGUAGCAAAGGUGGCAGAGUUCUCUAUAUUUUUCAGUUUACUUUUUAUUGAGCUGAGACUAGUAAUUUGCUGUUUAUACUCCCUGCAUACUUGGGCAUUUUGCAUUAUCGUCAAUAUACUGCUGCAUAACUAACGUGCUAGCCUGCAGAAGCAUUAGUAUAGUGUUAAAUAUAUAUGGGUCCUAAAAUAUAUGUUAGAUAUCCAUUUUAUUUUGAAAAUCUUCAUUACAGUUACUUCUGUAAAAAAAGGAUUUUGCAAUACUUAAAUCAUUUUGCUUACAGUAUAAGUAGUAAGGCUUAAGAAAGAAACAUUUUAUUUAAUAAGAGUAGGGGAUAUGUUGUUUUCAAAGAUGAUGCUCUUAAAAAAAUACAGAAAUAUCAUAAGAACUUCCCUUAGUUUUGAAAAUAUUGCAGUUGUGAUGAGCACUGUAACUUGCAGACUCACGUAAGUAAAGAUGAUAGAAGCAACAUCAGCUGUGCUGAAGUAGUCUAUGCUAGUUAACCUAGGAUUCCUCUACAGGCAAUUGAGAGAUACGGGGUACUCCGGAGGGAAAUUCAUAUCACCCAUCUCAAGUAUUUAAAGAAUGGAUGGGAUUGCUCACCUUGUGGAGAUGUCUGCCUCCCCUCAUUAUAGAAGGAACAUAGAUGAAUAGUACAGCAGAGGUGGCAACUCCUUACUUAAUUAAGACUUCAUAAGAUAUGAAGAGUGGAGCUCAGAUUUUUUUUCCCACACAUACAUAAACUUAGAGAGUACUGAGCUAAACAAAAACCUUUGUUUACUGUAGCAAUUAUAUUAAGUUUUGAAGACAGCCUUUUAAAUAUAGUGGUAAUGUGCAUAUGUGUCUAUGACAAUUAUAUUACAGCAAAAAUAUGUGUGUUCACGAGAAACAGACCAUACUUACAGGAUCAAUAACUUGCCUGUUCGUUGCCUAAUAUUCUUAGAUAUAUCACUUCUGUGGCAUUUAGGAAAUGAAUUGACGCAUCAGUGAUAAAUUGAAUUUGGGAUACAGUUUCUUUGUCCUUGGUAAUAUAUCUAUUGUGUACUGCAUACGAUUGCAUCCAAUAAAGUUGUUUUCUAAA
Long non-coding RNA from Aquila chrysaetos chrysaetos, 5898 nucleotides. RefSeq lists it as uncharacterized. The record is from RefSeq and is a predicted model, not a curated record. The transcript is spliced from 5 exons. NCBI's taxonomy places the organism in Eukaryota, Metazoa, Chordata, Aves, Accipitriformes, Accipitridae.